AUGGACAGUGGCGGCAGCGGCAGCAGCAGCAGCAUUGGCGAACAGACCACAAAUCUAUAGAUAGACACAAAAAAGAAGCAGGUCUACGGCCCAACAGCAGCGCGGCAUACGUGUCGCCGUUUCUCUCUCGACCGUCGCGCCACCAUCGGGUAGGUCCUUUACAUAGACAUGCAUUCGCAGCACACAUACAUAGACGCAUACAAAUCUAUCGAAGCCCCGCCCCUGCUCGCAUCUUUUCACCCCCUUCAUUGUCAACCGUCAUUUCUUCUGCACAGCAGCUAUGUUGCGCCGCAGCGUGCGUGCGUUGGAGAAGUUGGUGAUUGUCGAGUCACCCAACAAGGUCAUAAAGGUGGAGGGGCUCCUGAGCGACCCAAAGGUAAUACCGGACUGGUCGUUCAACAAUAGCAAGCUCCGUGCUAUCAGUACUGGCGCGGAGAAAGCGAUUGCUAUGGCCACGACAGGGCACUUCAUGUCUCUGAAGGAGCUGACGUGGUCUCCGCAGUCGUCCAGCCCCGCUUCGAGAGUCACAGCCGCGGACUUCCCUUCCAACGGCCUACUCGUCAGCUUCUCGCUUGAGUGGGAGCUGAUCCCUGGGCGCCGCAUCCAGGACACGGUAUCGCACUACAUCGAGGAGAAGGCGGAUAACCUGACGGAGAUUAUCGUCGCGACUGAUCCCGAUCGUGAGGGAGAGCUGAUCGCGGUGCACGCGCAGAACCUGAUUCGAAGCAUGUUCCCACAGCUCAACGUCCCUUUCACGCGCGCGUACAUGCACAGCAUCACCGCCGAGGGAAUCCGCCGCGCCAUGGAGGAGCGGCACGAGGCGUUUGACUACAACCUCGCCAACGCUGCAGAGGCGCGGCACGCAAUGGACCGCAUCUUUGGCUUUCUUGGGAGCUCGGUGGUACGCUACGCCAACCCGCAGAUGCGCUCCAUCGGGCGAGUGCAAACACCAGCGCUCAUCCUAAUAAAGGACCGGGAGGACAAGAUCAAGUCAUACCUCGACUCUCACGCCUCCACGUUCGAGAUUCAGGCAGUGUGCUAUUUCACCUCCAAGCAGAACCACCGCUUCUCCCAGGUGGUGAAGGUGACGCCGGCGCACAAGGGCGGCGCCGCGCCGGUGGACUGGAGCGACGAGGCGACUGUCAAGCAGCGGUGCGAGCAGUGGGCGCUGAGCUCGGCCACCCACUUUAGCGUCUCGCCCGGCGCAAAGCCGCAGGAGACCGUGACACCCCCACCGAAGCCGUUUACGAUGGCCACGCUCAUCGCCAGGGCGAACCGGCAGCUGCACUACUCCAGCGAUAUGGUCAGCUUAUGCCUACAGGACCUGUUCCAGAUGGGCUACAUCACCUACCCGCGCACGGACAGCACCCGCAUCGACGAGUCGAUUCUGCCCUCCAUCUACGCGGCCGUGCGCAGAGAGCACGGUAAGCGCCUUCUGCAGGAGCAGGAUGGUCCGCCCAAGUCAGGCUCGCGUCGCUCAACUGCACAGAAGGAAGCGGCGGACGCCAACGUUGAGGACGCGCAUGAAGCGAUCCGGCCCACCAAUAUUGACACUACCGUCGAGGAGCUUGGUGCUGUAUCCGCGCCGAUGAAGCACAUUUACGACCUGGUGCGCCGCAACACGAUGGCGGUUCACAUGAUCCCGAUGAAGACGGAGCGGAUUGUGGUGCUGGUGGCGUGCAAGGCUGCCAACGGCGAGGAGGUGGAGUUUGAGCUGCAGGGCAAGCACGUCGUGGAGCCGGGCUGGUCAGCUGCCUUCCGCGGUAGCAAAGGCACAGCGACGCCAGUGACAGAGACAGAUCAGGAUAUGGAGGCAGUAGAAGACGGCGGCGUCGUUGUUCCGAGCAUCUCCGACGACGAGUUCAAGGCGAUCAUGGACUUUGCUGCCCAGCGCGGAGGCGGAACAGGAGUCAAGAAAGGCAGCAUGCAGCUGGAGUCGGCGCAAGUCGCGGAGAACCGACCAAGCCCACCGCUGCCGUUCUCGGAGGGUGGUUUGAUCGAUCAGCUCAAGAACAACGGCGUGGGGCGGCCGAGCACGUACCCGAUGAUCGUUAAGACGCUACUCGCACGCAACUACAUCACAGUCAAGAAGGGACGGUGCGAGACCACCCCGGUAGGGCGCAUGCUGGUGGACACCUCCCGAGCCACGUUCCCCUCCAUCGUCGACAUCGGCUUCACCUCCGCGUUUGAGAAAAAGCUUGACCGCAUCGCAAAGCCGUGUAGCGCGAAAGAGUGGGCGCUGCCGCCGAACGUGUCGGACGCGGACUACGUGCUCUCAUCUUUUAUCUCCAACUUCUUGAACUACGUGACAGAAGCGACCAAGGCACACCGAGUCGCCAUCACAACGCGCUCCUUGGCCUUGCAGCAGGAGAAGAGAGUGGCGAGCAACACGCCGAUGUCGCCGACGGACUUCCAGGCGAACCUGGUGAAGGAGACGAAGCGGGUGUUGACGCAGGUGCCGGACCUAGUGGAUAACAUGAAGAGCUACCGCACUUUCACGGCCCUCCAGAACAGCCUGAACGACUACCUGCGGCGCAACUUCCCGCCCUCGGCAGCAGCGGUGGCGCCUGCUUCAUCCUCGGGAACCGCUCGCAGCUACGGCAGCAGCAGCAGCUCCGUAAAGAAAAAGGAGUCACACGGGGCGGCUUGCAAGGUCGACAAAAGGACGCCCCGUCGCUUCCGCGCAAAGCCGAAGAAGCCGAAGAAGUAGCGCAUGGGCCCACGCGCCUGAGCCGGCCUCUCCCCCCUCCCUUCGCUUUUGCUCCGCUCUCUCUAGGCGGCGCCUCCGCACGCUGCGAUGGCAAAUGUGAGAGGAGGUGGGAUGAGCGCGAUGGCGCCGCAACCGAAGUCUUCAUGCCUGUGUUUCACUGAAGCGUUUGUGUGUCCUUUGCGGAGGGUGUUUCCGUACUAAAAGAGGAUGAAAUGCACAAGUGGCAAUAUAAGCACGCUUGCUAACCUCUCCAUUCCCCCUCCCAUCCCACUCCGCCGCCGAAGAGGUACUGCUGAAAUACGUAAA
This 3016-nucleotide unclassified non-coding RNA is filed under the name Leishmania donovani. RNAcentral's name for it is "gene:LdHU3.21.0180(CDS-product:DNA_topoisomerase_ 1A)". The record is from RNAcentral. Lineage: Eukaryota; Euglenozoa; Kinetoplastea; Trypanosomatida; Trypanosomatidae.